CAAGGAUGGCAUCCUAUUUGUGCGUUUCCCUGAUGGAAGGCCGACAGGCGACGCCUUUGUCCUAUUCGCCAGUGAGGAGAAUGCUCAGUGCGCUCUCAGGAAGCACAAAGACAUCCUGGGAAAGAGAUACAUUGAGCUGUUCAAGAGCACCGCCGCUGAGGUGCAACAGGUAUGAAGAGAGGGAGGGUUUGUCUGUCUGUUAAGGUUCGACAGGUAUGUCUGUGUGUUGGAGGAGGGGUGUGCGUCUGUCUGUUGAGGUGGAGCGUGUGUGUCUGUGUUUUGGGGAAGGGUGUGUUUGUCUGUCUGCUAAGGUGCAACAGGUAGAAAGAGAGAGGGAGGGAGUGAGCGUGCAUGUGUGUGUGUGUGUUGGUGUGUGUGUGUUGGUGUGUGUCUGUUGGUGUGUGUGUGUGUGUGUUGGUGUGUGUUGGUGUGUGUGUGUUGGUGUGUGUUGGUGUGUGUGUGUUGGUGUGUGUGUGUGUGUUGGUGUGUGUGUGUAUUGGUGUGUGUGUGUGUGUUGGUGUGUGUUGGUGUGUGUGUGUUGGUGUGUGUUGGUGUGUGUGUGUUGGUGUGUGUGUGUGUGUUGGUGUGUGUGUGUAUUGGUGUGUGUGUGUGUGUGUGUUGGUGUGUGUGUGUUGGUGUGUGUGUGUAUUGGUGUGUGUGUUUGUGUUGGUGUGUGUGUGUUGGUGUGUGUUGGUGUGUGUGUGUUGAUGUGUGUUGGUGUGUGUGUGUGUGUGUGUGUGUGUGUGUGUGUGUGUGUGUUUGUGUGUGUGUAUUGGUGU
RNAcentral lists this long non-coding RNA (779 nucleotides) under Salmo salar (Atlantic salmon). Its description in RNAcentral is "lncRNA (ENSSSAG00000086747.1, ENSSSAG00000094203.1)". Lineage: Eukaryota; Metazoa; Chordata; Actinopteri; Salmoniformes; Salmonidae. The record is from RNAcentral.